AGGCCGACAGGCGUAGGCGAUGGAUAACAGGUUGAUAUUCCUGUACCACCUAUAAUCGUUUUAAUCGAUGGGGGGACGCAGUAGGAUAGGCGAAGCGUGCGAUUGGAUUGCACGUCUAAGCAGUAAGGCUGAGUAUUAGGCAAAUCCGGUACUCGUUAAGGCUGAGCUGUGAUGGGGAGAAGACAUUGUGUCUUCGAGUCGUUGAUUUCACACUGCCGAGAAAAGCCUCUAGAUAGAAAAUAGGUGCCCGUACCGCAAACCGACACAGGUAGUCAAGAUGAGAAUUCUAAGGUGAGCGAGCGAACUCUCGUUAAGGAACUCGGCAAAAUGACCCCGUAACUUCGGGAGAAGGGGUGCUCUUUAGGGUUAACGCCCAGAAGAGCCGCAGUGAAUAGGCCCAAGCGACUGUUUAUCAAAAACACAGGUCUCUGCUAAACCGUAAGGUGAUGUAUAGGGGCUGACGCCUGCCCGGUGCUGGAAGGUUAAGAGGAGUGGUUAGCUUCUGCGAAGCUACGAAUCGAAGCCCCAGUAAACGGCGGCCGUAACUAUAACGGUCCUAAGGUAGCGAAAUUCCUUGUCGGGUAAGUUCCGACCCGCACGAAAGGCGUAACGAUUUGGGCACUGUCUCAACGAGAGACUCGGUGAAAUCAUAGUACCUGUGAAGAUGCAGGUUACCCGCGACAGGACGGAAAGACCCCGUGGAGCUUUACUGUAGCC
This 717-nucleotide ribosomal RNA is filed under the name Staphylococcus aureus. Its description in RNAcentral is "partial 23S ribosomal RNA". It matches the Rfam family "Bacterial large subunit ribosomal RNA", at positions 1399 to 2111 of the family's 2925-position model. Lineage: Bacteria; Bacillati; Bacillota; Bacilli; Caryophanales; Staphylococcaceae. The record is from RNAcentral.